This is a long non-coding RNA of Fundulus heteroclitus (mummichog), 2454 nucleotides long. RefSeq lists it as uncharacterized. The transcript is spliced from 2 exons. The record is from RefSeq and is a predicted model, not a curated record. Lineage: Eukaryota; Metazoa; Chordata; Actinopteri; Cyprinodontiformes; Fundulidae.
GGUUAACAAGUGACAGCUGUAGAUUCACUGAGUUUGAUAGGUGAAAAUUAUGCUCAAUAUUGCCAUAAAGCUUUUGAGAGCAACACCACGUCACAAUCCCCCCUUUUUGGACAACCAGAUGGUACAUCCCAGUCUAUCCUGCUCCCUUCUCACUCCCCUCCCUCUUGCUCUCAGUGUCCUCCAUCUCUCUGCUGUCGCUCAUUUUCCCUAUAUUAAGGACAUCUUAACUUUGGGAGUUCUGCCUCCUCCUCAUCCAUUUAUCCAUUUAGUCCUCUAAUCUCAGCCCAGCUGUUUGAAAGUGAAGCAGCACAAAGCUGACUUUAUAAAGACUCUUCCGGACCCCGACCACACCUGUGUCCCUGAAUCCAUGGAGGCCAAGGCCAAGGCCGGGGCUUCAGCGCCCAAGGCAGCGUCCAAAGCAGAGAAGAAGGAGCCGGCGGCACCACGCAAGGCUGAUCCUGCUCCUGCGACCCCCGAGCCCGAGAACCCCCCUCCGUCCCAGGAUGGAGCAGCAGAAGCUGAGUCAGCAGGUGAAAAGGCCCCCGGUAGAGACUCUCUGGAACACCUGAAGCCCUUUCUCAUCGGUGGUGCCGUUAUCGCGGCAGGAGCCAUUUUGCUGGGAGUGAUGCUGCUGGCGAGGAGAAAUUAAACAAAACAAAUUUAAAAUGGGAAUACUAUUGACUGGUUCACAGACUUUUCUGGUUUGAUGGGCGAUGGGGAGACACAGCAGUCUGUGCUUUUUUCAUCUUUGUUUUUCCUGUUUAGAGGUUUUCUUUUGGCCUGCUUCCACGUGUAUAGUGUAUCAACCUAUGUAACGUUUGAUCAAGGCUUUAUAUGGAGAAUAACUAUACUUGGUAUACGCAUGAAGUUGCUAUAAUACUGCAUUUAAAAUGUAAUUAGAAUAUAUAAAAAAGGAAAAAAAAAACAUAUACUGCAUUGCAUAGCCACCUGCACUCUCUAAACCCAGUUGAAUCCAAUACUUUUCCACUUUGUACAAAUAUUGGUAGAGCAUUUCAAUAUUCAGUCAUUGUUGCAGUUUAUUCUGCUCAAAAGUGCUGAAACAAAAAACAUAUUCUGUUUAUCAAUAAUGUCCCUGGGCUGUCUGGAGUUGGAAGAAGGAGAGUGAAGCUUCUGGACGGUGAAUGUUCUGCGUGUUUUGGCCAAAGUAACCGCUAGGUAUGGGUCUGUGCUCUAGCGGUUUGGGGCUGAAAACAUGCAUAGUGCAUUUAAAAGCAGUGUGUGCUAAGAGUGUUAACAACUUUCUGAUGAGAUAAAGAUCCGAUUUAGUUUGUCGUCCAGAAGCAAACCCACAUAUUUUGAUAUUUUGGCUGAUCCUCUGACGUCAUCAGUGCCCUUUCUGGGCUAAGAUUUUUCACUGCUAAGAUCAGCAAAAUAAUACACUCAGUAUUAUUGCUCUAACAACCAAGAAUUACUAAACUUAUGUUUGAGAAUAAGAACAUAUGAGCAUGACUUAGCUAAGGAAAGAAAAUGCUUUUUGGACUAAAAUACAUUUUGCUUAGGGAAGAUGUAUAUCUUACUGUCAAAUAAUAUCAAAAAUCAAUAACCUUUUACAUAUGUCUAAACACAAACAGUUCUGAUAUUUAAAUCUGUUUACAUCAACAUACGACAAUAUAACAUAUGUGGGUUACAUUCAACAGAACGGCCGCUGCCAAAAUAUCAAAGUUGUUUUUGGCUUUCCUCUGCUCUUCUCAUGUUCUCACAUGCACAAACCAUAAAAAUGACAUAAGAGUAUCUUACAUUUACCGGAGCAUGAAAGUGAUGUGUAUAGUUGCUGUCAUAAAUCACUCAAAGGGGGAGAAAAAAAACACACACACACACAUUUGUUGCUGCAUAAAUUAAUCUGUACAGAUGUUCACAGUAAUUUCUGCUUUCAUUGUAUAACUCAUCAAGUAGACUGACUAUAAAGUAGAAAGUUAGUUCCUACACGUACACACACAUUUAGUCUUUAGUUUUAAUAAAUUAAACACAGUUUAGACCAAAAAGAUAUAUAUAUAAAAAAAAACAUUCAACAUUCACCACAACUUCUCUACUAUGAUCAGAAGAUAGUAUGCCACCGAAAAAAACGUCACCUUACAUUGUACUAUGCAGUGUAUUAAAAAAAUAAAAAAUAAAGUAGUAGAAGAAGAAAAUUCCUAUUUUCAUAAUUUCAAAAGCGUAUAAAUGCAAUAAUUCAGGUAGGAGUUCUCAUUUAGCAUAUGUGCUGUAGCAGAUUAAAUUACAUAGAUGAUGUAAUAAUGUAUGAUGUUACUGAUGGCCACAAUAGUGAUGAUAAUUAUCAUGGUGACUGUAAUGAUGAUAAUGAUGGAUAUGAUAUAUAUUUUUUAUAUUCUUUAACAUAUUUUCCUUAUGCACCCUCCCCUCUGCUCUCAACCAUCUAAGUGUAAAGAAAAGAUCUUGAAAACCAGCUUUAUUAAAGACAGUGAACCAGACGAA